GAGUUUGAUCUUGGCUCAGAUUGAACGCUGGCGGCAUGCCUUACACAUGCAAGUCGAACGCGAAAGCGGGGCAACCCGCAAGUAGAGUGGCGAACGGGUGAGUAAUACAUCGGAACAUAUCCAGUAGCGGGGGAUAACCUGUCGAAAGAUAGGCUAAUACCGCAUACGACCUACGGGUGAAAGCGGAGGACCGCAAGGCUUCGCACUAUUGGAGUGGCCGAUGUCGGAUUAGCUAGUUGGUGAGGUAAAAGCUCACCAAGGCGACGAUCCGUAGCUGGUCUGAGAGGACGACCAGCCACACUGGAACUGAGACACGGUCCAGACUCCUACGGGAGGCAGCAGUGGGGAAUUUUGGACAAUGGGCGCAAGCCUGAUCCAG
Molecule: ribosomal RNA, 379 nt
Filed under: uncultured beta proteobacterium
Lineage: Bacteria; Pseudomonadati; Pseudomonadota; Betaproteobacteria
Description: bacterial SSU rRNA
Rfam family: Bacterial small subunit ribosomal RNA
Source: RNAcentral